ACGGGUGAGUAACGCGUUGGUGACCUACCCCAAAGUGUGGGAUAACAGUCCGAAAGGAUUGCUAAUACCGCAUGUGGUCCCCGGGUUUAGAAACCGGUGACUAAAGCAGUAAUGCGCUUUGGGAGGGACCUGCGUCCCAUCAGCUAGUUGGUGAGGUAACGGCUCACCAAGGCGUCGACGGGUAGGGGACCUGAGAGGGUGAUCCCCCACAAUGGCACUGAAACACGGGCCAUACACCUACGGGUGGCAGCAGUAGGGAAUAUUGGGCAAUGGGCGAAAGCCUGACCCAGCAACGCCGCGUGUACGAUGAAGGUCUUCGGAUCGUAAAGUACUUUUCUGGGAGAUGAGUAAGGACAGUAUCCCAGGAAUAAGCUUCGGCUAACUACGUGCCAGCAGCCGCGGUAAAACGUAGGAAGCGAGCGUUAUCCGGAUUUACUGGGCGUAAAGCGCGUGUAGGCGGUUUGGUAAGUUGGAUGUGAAAUCUCUCGGCUCAACUGGGAGAGGUCGUUCAAAACUACCAGACUAGAGGACAGUAGAGGAAGGUGGAAUUCCCGGUGUAGUGGUGAAAUGCGUAGA
Molecule: ribosomal RNA, 576 nt
Filed under: uncultured bacterium
Lineage: Bacteria
Description: bacterial SSU rRNA
Rfam family: Bacterial small subunit ribosomal RNA
Source: RNAcentral